AUGGAAUUGAAAUUUGAGGAGGUAGCUGCCCUAGACAAAGAUAACGUUAGUGGUGAAGAUGGAUUAAUUACAGUAAGAAGUGCGUAUCCACGGACCCGUGGCCCUCACUUUAAACUCACUGAGGGAUUUAAUAUGAGAAAGAUUGAAGAGCUUAUGCUAGAAAAGUCUGUUUCGAUGGCCAAGUCCAUAGCAAAUGAGAUAAUCAUCCUAGACCCUACUCCCCAGUGGGUGUGUGAUAUCUUCUUCGACAAAUACGCCAAAUUGGAGCCCAUCUUUUUGAAGGAUAGUGUCCAGUGCUUCCUUGGAUUAUUCAAGAGCUGUGGGGGCAGGGGCAUGUCAUGGAAUCUUACCAUCACUGCACAAACCUUAACCUUCAUGAUCAGUUUCAAUGCCUUGCAAUGUGCACAAGUUGUAUUGGAGGGUGAGGCACCUGAGCUCCGUGGGAUGCACGCCAAUCCCAACUGCAUAAACAAAUAUGGAUACUUCUCGCUCCACGAAGCUGCUGAAAGGUUCUCUGUUGACAUGAUCAAGCUGCUUCUACGCCAUGGUGCAUCAGCCAAUGUACGCACAGUUGGCAAUGAUAUCAUUGAGGAUCUACUCCCGCUCCAUGUUGCAGUUGAGAAUACUUGCCUGCAUAAGUAUCUGGAGGACAAUCUUUCUCCCAGCCAGAAUCAUCUGGAUUAUAUCUACAAUCUUAUCCGUCUGCUGUGUCUACCUGAAAUGAAGAUCUUCUUGGAUACAACUAGACUGCUUGCAGAAAAAACAAAUAAUCUACUUGGAGAGCUCUGGAAAUACAUUGAGGAUGGAAAACUUACGCAGUCUGCAGUUCUACUACUGGCCGCUCAAGAGCAGAUCCGUGGAGGCUGUUCAUCCAGUAGUAAGAAAGAUGGGUUUGACAUGAUCAAGAGCAGUAUACUGAGGCUUUCAUUUACCUUGAUAUGGGGGAAGGGUUCAAGUGAAAUGCCACAGAAGCUUCCGGAGGAAAUGAAGGCACUUUAUUGCGCAGGGCUGCUUGUUGAUGUAAUUUCCCGUGUCGGUGAACCUCUUUCUGCAUACAUUCAAGCACAUUCAGAGGUGCCCAAUGUGGAGGUCUUGGAACAUGUUUCAUCUAUCCUCAAGGAGUAUGGAUUUUGCCCUACUGGAGAUUCCAUGGACACUUUAAACCUCCAGCCUUAUGACUGCAAAAUGUCGGACAGAGAAUCAUGCGAGUCUACAGAUACAAACAUGGCAGCUACGAAAACGGCCAAUCUGCAUGCUGCAAAGAAAAAGCCUGCGAGAAAGAAAGUAGGUGGAGGAUGGGAUCCCACAUAUGCAAGGAGAAGAUUUUUCCCAUAUUGGAGAUCAGUGUUACAAGCCCGGUUUCCUGUGAAGGUGUAUCCAAACUAUGCAAGAACAGAUCUUGAACAACUCCAUGUCUCUCUGAGAACCUCAGUGGCCAAGGGAUCUACUCGAACUCAAAAUAUAGUUGGUCCAGUGGGAAGAAUCUCAGCACUUAUAGGAAAUAAUCAAUCCACAAGGCGCUUUAUCACUACUGCUACUGGUGCAUUCAAGCUCUUGAAAGCGCUAAGGGGGCUCAACUUGGAAAUGAUCGGGCUGAUCCGCGUCGUCAGCGUCAACCUUGUCACCGGGGAGGGGAUCUGA
Molecule: ribosomal RNA, 1641 nt
Filed under: Triticum aestivum (bread wheat)
Lineage: Eukaryota; Viridiplantae; Streptophyta; Magnoliopsida; Poales; Poaceae
Description: partial small subunit ribosomal RNA
Source: RNAcentral